Molecule: long non-coding RNA, 1014 nt
Organism: Cebus imitator (Panamanian white-faced capuchin)
Lineage: Eukaryota; Metazoa; Chordata; Mammalia; Primates; Cebidae
Exons: 2
Source: RefSeq, a predicted model, not a curated record
ACUCCAGGCUCAGGGGACAGAGCCAGCCACAGAGGACUCCAGGCCCAGGUGCAUGGGGCAGAGCCAGCCACAGGAGGAUUCCAGGGACAGGGGGCAGAGCUAGUUACGGAAGUACUCCAGGCUCAGGGGACAGAGCCAGCCACAGAGGACUCCAGGAAGAGGGGACAGUAUGCACAAACACCCAGCAGCAGAAAGGAGGCAUGGUAAAGGCCCCUAGAGGGCUGAGGCAGAGUGACUGACACUCAGUUAUGUGUGGCAACUUAAUCAGUGUCUUUCUCUUCUGAUGGGUUAUGAGAUCAAGGGAGGCAAUAUCUGUUUCAUCAUCUACCUUUUCCCCUCUCUAUUGUACCUCCUGGCCCAGCACAUUGCCUGCACAUGCCACCCAGAAGUCUACAGUCCAGCUGACCUAAGCCAAAUAGCUUCCUGAAGACACAAGUCCUGAGGUCACUCCGACAGGCCCCACCAUGAGCUUGGGUGUCACCUCCUUCCAAGGCUUAUUCUGAUCCCCUGGAGCAUACAUUUUCAUGAAGAAAUGUGUAGUCUGCCAACUUCAUUGUCAUUUAUCCCUGGACAAUUUGUUAACUUCAAGAAUCCUUGAGUGCCAACCUGGAUGUCUUUAUAAUUGCUUUCUCUGUCAGAGCCUGUGUGAAAAAUGUCACCGGUAGAAUGAAGUCAGAAAGCGAAGUUGCAGCGUGUUCCUCACAAAGGUGACAACGACUGAAAGCAUUACUUGCUUUCAGGACAGUUUUGAGAACGUUUCCAGCUCCUGAAAGAAAAGACGUUUGUAAAAUUGGAAAAGCUAGCCUGCUGACAUUGACAGCGAAUUCAUAAUGCACAUGUUAAUCUACAGAGAGAAGCAGGCUCACGCGCCUCAGAGGAAAGCUCAGGCACCAGCUAGAAAAUGCUUUAAUCAAAGGCAGGAAAGUUGGAAGCCUUUACAAAUCAUAAAAACAUGUUGUUUUUUUAAUCUCUUGAAUAUACAAAUGUAAAUAAAAUGAGCAACAAAGAUCUCUU